GACGAACGCUGGCGGCGUGCUUAACACAUGCAAGUCGAACGGGCCCGCUCUCUUUUUUGGGGGUGGGUUGAGUGGCGAACGGGUGAGUAUCACGUGAGUAACCUGCCCCCUGCUCCUGGAUAACUGCUUGAAAGGGCGGCUAAUACGGGGUGUGCCGGCUGGUCCGCAUGGGCCUGGUCGGGAUAGUUUCAUCUUCGGGUGUUUCGGUGGGGGAUGGGCUCGCGGCCUAACAGCUUGUUGGUGGGGUGAUGGCCCACCAAGGCGGUGACGGGUAGCCGGCCUGGGAGGGUGGGCGGCCACACUGGGACUGAGACACGGCCCAGACUCCUGCGGGAGGCAGCAGUGGGGGGUAUUGCACAAUGGGCGGAAGCCUGAUGCAGCGACGUCGCGUGAGGGAUGGAGGCCUUCGGGUUGUGAACCUCUUUCUCCGGUGGUGAAGGCCCUGUCCGUUGCGGCGGGGUUGACGGUAGCCGGGUAUGAAGCGCCGGCUAACUACGUG
This 499-nucleotide ribosomal RNA is filed under the name uncultured bacterium. RNAcentral's name for it is "partial 16S ribosomal RNA". It matches the Rfam family "Bacterial small subunit ribosomal RNA", at positions 28 to 507 of the family's 1533-position model. The record is from RNAcentral.